This 463-nucleotide ribosomal RNA is filed under the name uncultured bacterium. RNAcentral describes it as "SSU rRNA". It matches the Rfam family "Bacterial small subunit ribosomal RNA", at positions 26 to 518 of the family's 1533-position model. The record is from RNAcentral.
AGCCUGAACGCUGGCGGCGUGGCUAAGACAUGCAAGUCGUACGGUGUAGCAAUACACAGUGGCGAACGGGAGAGUAAUGAAUCGCUAAUGUGCCCCGGACUCUGAGAUAGCCAUCCGAAAGGGUGGGUAAUACCAGAUGAUAUAUCUUUAUCGCAUGAUAGAGAUCUCAAAGGUCCGCCGGUCUGGGAGCAGGCGAUUUCGUAUCAGCUAGUUGGUGAGGUAACGGCUCACCAAGGCGACGACGCGUAGCCGGACUGAGAGGUUGGCCGGCCUCAUUGGGACUGAGACACUGCCCAGACUCCUACGGGGGGCUGCAGUAACGAAUCUUCCGCAAUGCACGAAAGUGUGACGGAGCGACGCCGCGUGUGGGACGAAGUCCUUCGGGAUGUAAACCACUGUCAGGGGUUACCAAGUUCUGAGGAGCCCCAGAGGAAGGGACGGCUAACUCUGUGCCAGCAGCCGC